CUACGGGGGGCAGCAGUGGGGAAUAUUGCACAAUGGAGGAAACUCUGAUGCAGCAACGCCGCGUGAGGGAAGAAGGUUUUCGGAUUGUAAACCUCUGUCCUCGGUGAAGAAAAAAAUGACGGUAGCCGAGGAGGAAGCCACGGCUAACUACGUACCAGCAGCCGCGGUAAUACGUAGGUGGCAAGCGUUGUCCGGAUUUACUGGGUGUAAAGGGUGCGCAGGCGGGACUGCAAGUUGGAUGUGAAAUGCCGAGGCUCAACCUCGGAGCUGCAUCCAAAACUGUGGUUCUUGAGAGAUGUAGAGGUAAGCGGAAUGCCGAGUGUAGCGGUGAAAUGCGUAGAUAUUCGGAGGAACACCAGUGGCGAAGGCGGCUUACUGGGCAUUUUCUGACGCUGAGGCACGAAAGUGUGGGGAGCAAACAGGAUUAGAUACCCCUGUAGUC
This 442-nucleotide ribosomal RNA is filed under the name uncultured bacterium. RNAcentral describes it as "partial 16S ribosomal RNA". It matches the Rfam family "Bacterial small subunit ribosomal RNA", at positions 339 to 795 of the family's 1533-position model. The record is from RNAcentral.